Centropristis striata (black sea bass) is the source of this 612-nucleotide long non-coding RNA. RefSeq lists it as uncharacterized. The transcript has 4 exons. The record is from RefSeq and is a predicted model, not a curated record. NCBI's taxonomy places the organism in Eukaryota, Metazoa, Chordata, Actinopteri, Perciformes, Serranidae.
UCACAGAUUUACAACUUGACCAUUGCUUACUGAUAAACACUACUUCACUUGAGACAAGAGACUUGAGUAUCCAGUUCUUCGUUGACCUUCAGCAUUCAGUUGUUUGUCUUCACCUUUUCAGUCUAAAACCUGAGAAGCCAUCACCAUUUUGUUGUUUCACAUCAGAGUUUCCUGUGUCCAGGAUCUUCAAGACAGACUAAGCUAACUUUUCAUAUUUUUUGCACAUUUAUAUUUAGGUUAGGUUAGGAGUAGGUUAGGUUUAUAGUAGAGUAUUUAGUCAGUAUAGUUUAGCUUUUUAUGCUAGUCUAGGGACAGUUACAGUUUGCGAGUUAUUGUUGUACAGGCUAUUGAAUAUUUUGUUCAAGUGAGACGAGAAAGACCACUGCUUCCAAGAUGCCGAGGAAGGGCAAGCGAUCCCGUGCUCAGAAAGUGCGUUGGACAAGUCUCGACCUUGCAGAUCCUGACCAACUUAGCCCAACCACUUCCCACCAUGGGGUAGAAAUGACAGCUCAAACACCGCCGUCAACCAGCCGGCUGUGGAUGAUGAAUAACGCACCCACAACUCCUUCUCCAGUCUACAAGAUUCAGAAAAUCCAGACACCCCCACAGUCC